Molecule: ribosomal RNA, 459 nt
Filed under: uncultured bacterium
Lineage: Bacteria
Description: partial 16S ribosomal RNA
Rfam family: Bacterial small subunit ribosomal RNA
Source: RNAcentral
CCUACGGGAGGCUGCAGUGAGGAAUAUUGGUCAAUGGCCGAGACGCUGAACCAGCCAAGUCGCGUGAGGGAAGACGGCCCUACGGGUUGUAACCCUCUUUUGUCGGGGAGCAAAGCGAGGCACGUGUGACUCAUUGAGAGUACCCGUAGAAAAAGCCUCGGCUAACUACGUGCCAGCAGCCGCGGUAAUACGGAGGAUGCGAGCGUUAUCCGAGUUUAUUGGGUUUAAUGGGUGCGCAGGCGAAGGUGCAAGUCCGCGGGCAAGUUGCGGGGCGCAACCCCGUACUGCCGUUGAAACUGCAUCCCUUGAGUGCGCGAGAGGUAUGCGGAAUGCGUGGUGUAGCGGUGAAAUGUAUAGAUAUCACGCAGAACUCCGAUUGCGAAGGCAGCAUACCGGCGCGCAAAUGACGCUCAUGCACGAAAGCGUGGGUAUCGAACAGGAUUAGAUACCCCAGUAGUC